AUGCACCUCUGACGGACCUGGAGCAGUUAAUGUCUGCUGCUAAGGUUUCCACUAUAGAUGAAAGAAAAAGAAGGUCCUUGUGCUGUCUAUCUGGUUGUGGCAGCCAAGAUUGAGUGGGGGAGGACAGGA
Molecule: small nucleolar RNA, 129 nt
Filed under: Dasypus novemcinctus (nine-banded armadillo)
Lineage: Eukaryota; Metazoa; Chordata; Mammalia; Cingulata; Dasypodidae
Description: Small nucleolar RNA SNORA31 (ENSDNOG00000046690.1)
Source: RNAcentral